Small nuclear RNA from Erinaceus europaeus (western European hedgehog), 106 nucleotides. The record is from Ensembl. Lineage: Eukaryota; Metazoa; Chordata; Mammalia; Eulipotyphla; Erinaceidae.
GUGUUUGCUCCAGCAGCAUGUAUAUUAAAAUUAGAAUAAUACAGAAAUUAGCAUGCCCCAACAGCACUAGAAUGACACACAAAUUUAUGAUUCUCUUUUUUGGUUU